This is a long non-coding RNA of Lingula anatina, 868 nucleotides long. The record is from RefSeq and is a predicted model, not a curated record. Lineage: Eukaryota; Metazoa; Brachiopoda; Lingulata; Lingulida; Lingulidae.
GAAAUCCAUGACGUCAUUCGCAGGAAACUAAGAAAGUUGACCUUACACGCGACAAACCUGGUAUCUACAUCAUUGGAUUGAGUGAUAAGAAGAUCUGUUGAAGAUAGCAAAUUUGAAGCAUACGGAUUCUGUGGAUCAGGGACUGGGAAAAUAACCUAGAUUCCCCUGCCGCUGGCAUUGUUAGCGUGCCAUUUAGAUUAAUAAGUAGCCUAAAGAUAAUAAGAUACAGGUGAGUAAGCAUGUAAAAAAAAAAAAAAAGAAAAAAAAAGAUAAAAUGCAUGUUUUGUUUUUAUGACAUGACAGGACAUUCAUAAACUUAUUCGACUUAUUCCUGGGAAUAACGUGCCUGGGAAUAACGUGAAAGUUAACUUAUAAAAUUACAGCAUCAUCAAACAAGUGAUAAAGAUUUUACAGCAGAAACAUAAUUGUAACGAAGAAAAUAGCAGAAGCAAAAAAAUAUUGAUUGUGAUCAGCACACUUUGCCUACACUUUGAGAUGCCCCCUCGGAGCUGUGAAGCACCUGCACAUGUAUAACUGAAUACUUCUGUGUUCAUAGUGUGGGGGAGAGAGAAAUAGAGAGGUAUUAACACACAGGCUAAGCUCCACACAGUGGGAUUCCCUGUCUGCAGCCAGACAAGGCAGUACUAGACUGCUUGUGCAGGUUAUAUCUAGGUGAGCGGCUUCUGUGUUUGACUUCUGGGUGGUCUAGCCAUGAUGUGUUCCCUCACAACAAUUUAAUGGGAUGUGAAUUAGAGAAAUUUGCCAAACGUAAAAAAACGGCCGUAAAAAAUGACCUGUAUGAUGUUGAAGUGUGAUAAAGGUAAGAGAUACGUUUUAAGGUGUAGGGAGGCCAGGCCCUUAGCCAACA